RNAcentral lists this long non-coding RNA (718 nucleotides) under Lupinus mutabilis. RNAcentral's name for it is "partial ncRNA". Lineage: Eukaryota; Viridiplantae; Streptophyta; Magnoliopsida; Fabales; Fabaceae. The record is from RNAcentral.
GCCCUCUGCAUUAUUAUUUCCAUAUUCCUAACCAAGCUUUGUUUCAUCAAACUUUUCAUCAUUUUCUUUCCUUCUUUUGCAUCUCUUUGAUUUAUAGGUGACCCCAUUGCAAAUCUUGGUGUUUGAGGACCUGAAUGUGGCCCCAUUUUUACUCUCCUUUCAUCCUUAAACCAUUGCAAUAGUUUCAUUGCUCUCUUCUGAGCUAAAGAACUUCCCAAUAGAACUACUUCAAGAAGUGCAGGAACAACCCCAGCUUCUACCAUUUUCUCUCUUUGUGUUGAGCUUUGGUGGACCAGAAUCAUCAAAAUAUAAACUGAUAACUCUUGGCAUUUUGGUUUAUCUUCCCAUGACAAGAUCUUAAUGAAACUUUGUGGCACCAUUGAGUUGUUCUCUAUUGCUUUUUUUCCCAUUGAAGUCACCAACAUGUUCCCAAUAGUGGCAAGUGCUUUCUCUGAAAUUUCCUUCAUUGUGGACAUUUCCAAGAGCAUAGGCACAAACCCAUUAGAGACUAAAAGGUUUACAUUUUCUAACAUAGUUGAGAUGUUGUAUAAGGCACACAAACAUGAUCUUUUGGUAUCAAAACUUGACCCUGACUCAAGAAUGUUUCCAAGUAAUGGGAGAAAAUCUAAUGAAGGAAUAGAGAAUUGGGUGUUUGAUAGAUAUGAUAAUGAUAAAAGUAACUCUGCAAAUGCAGUUAUUGUUGAUUCAUCUAAAAGGU